GAAGGUAUAGCUCAAGUGGUAGAGCACAUGCUUAGCAUGCACAAGGUCCUGGGUUCAAUCCCCAGUACCUCCA
RNAcentral lists this transfer RNA (73 nucleotides) under Camelus ferus (Wild Bactrian camel). It matches the Rfam family "tRNA". Rfam says of the family: Transfer RNA (tRNA) molecules are approximately 80 nucleotides in length. Their secondary structure includes four short double-helical elements and three loops (D, anti-codon, and T loops). Further hydrogen bonds mediate the characteristic L-shaped molecular structure. tRNAs have two regions of fundamental functional importance: the anti-codon, which is responsible for specific mRNA codon recognition, and the 3' end, to which the tRNAs corresponding amino acid is attached (by aminoacyl-tRNA synthetases). tRNAs cope with the degeneracy of the genetic code in two manners: having more than one tRNA (with a specific anti-codon) for a particular amino acid; and 'wobble' base-pairing, i.e. permitting non-standard base-pairing at the 3rd anti-codon position. Lineage: Eukaryota; Metazoa; Chordata; Mammalia; Artiodactyla; Camelidae. The record is from Rfam by way of RNAcentral.